This is a non-coding RNA of Labrus bergylta (ballan wrasse), 856 nucleotides long. Lineage: Eukaryota; Metazoa; Chordata; Actinopteri; Labriformes; Labridae. The record is from RefSeq and is a predicted model, not a curated record.
UGGAUCAUUCAGGGAACAGGAAGUUAUAAAGGAAACAGGAAGUUCAGGGUUCUUUCUCUAAUCUGCACACAGCAAGCAGCAACAGAAAUGUAAGUUCCUGUACUGAAGUUAAGGUUUAGCAUUAGCAUGUAGCUUAGCAUUAGCAACAACUUGUAUUAGUUUAUUGUUUGAAUUUAUACAGAACUUUGGUAAUGACUAAACUUCUUGUGUCUUGUAGUUUUCACUCCUUCAAUCUGGUGAAGAAAUGAAAAGACGAGAUCAUCUCUUUGCUCCCUUCAGAGCUACAGAUUCACAGAUAUAAGAAGACCGAGGAGUUCAGAUGAAAAGAAACAAAGCUACAUGGACAGACAGGUGAUCAUUCAAAUGAUUUCGUCUGCUUGCGUUGGAUGGAUGUUUCUCGAUCUUCUCCUGAGUCCAUUUGAACUUUUGUGAUCUGUUGCUUUGGUAACCUCAGCAUCGUUAACAAAAACAGGCCAAUCAGAGUCCACAUUUUGAAGGUCUCGGUCUGGGACUAGAAGGAAAAAACAUAAAAUAACGUCACUCCCCGGUUACGACCACAACCUUCCUGGUGUUACGGUCCAACUGUUUGUACAGGUUGCUCCUCCUCGUAUUUGAUCCGCUCGUGGCAACAAUAUUAUUUGACUUUUCUUUCACAAAGGUCAUUGCUGAGUCCAGCCAGUGAGGCUCCAAACCUCCAUGGAAAUGUGAACAAAAUGAGAGAAGAUGCCGGUUUGAGGCGAACACACACAGACUGCACUGAUGGGACGCAGCUCGGUGAAGGACCGUCUCCCCCCCUGGUCAACAGAAGAGAGAGAGAGAGUCAGAUUACAGCAUCUGACAACAUCACCCGAGGAAC